Molecule: long non-coding RNA, 748 nt
Filed under: Zea mays
Lineage: Eukaryota; Viridiplantae; Streptophyta; Magnoliopsida; Poales; Poaceae
Description: long non-coding RNA (ZMAY_LNC001828)
Source: RNAcentral
AUGUCUUUUAAGUAUCUGACAUUUAUUUUUUAAAUGUAUUCUUUCCCUUUAUCAGAUGUUUUAGCUCAGGAGAAUUGUAAUGACCAGCCUGUUCCUGCCAACGAGCCUGAGGAAAAGAACCUAGCUAACGUCAUAUCAACUGAUCUCCACACCAAAACUCUGCAGCAUGAUAAUGACAGAAUAGCUGAAGAGACUGAUAAAGGUACAACCGAAUUAAUCCUGCCCAGACUGACCUAGAAAUUAAGUUAAACGAUGAACUUGCUGAUCCGGGUAUGGACUGUGUUUAAUUUACCAAUUUUAAACAUACUGCAGAGUUUUGGUUUAUCAAUUAGUUUCACUGUUGCAGACCAUGAAGAGCAAAGCAAUGUGUUCGGAGAACGGAGAGUUAGCUUGGAAGCAAAUGCCAACGAGCCUGAGGAAAAGAACCUAGCUAACGUCAUAUCAACUGAUCUCCACACCAAAACUCUGCAGCAUGAUAAUGACAGAAUAGCUGAAGAGACUGAUAAAGGUACAACCGAAUUAAUCCUGCCCAGACUGACCUAGAAAUUAAGUUAAACGAUGAACUUGCUGAUCCGGGUAUGGACUGUGUUUAAUUUACCAAUUUUAAACAUACUGAGUUCUAAGUCAAAUUGUUGGCUACGUGUAAUUCUAAUCAUUAGCUUUGUCCAUUAUUGUCAUGUUAUAUACUGAAAGGAAGACUUUGUCGUUCCAAAAUCACCAAAUGGUUUAUCAAUUAGUUUCACUGUUG